This 1111-nucleotide ribosomal RNA is filed under the name Hepatozoon sp. RNAcentral describes it as "SSU rRNA". It matches the Rfam family "Eukaryotic small subunit ribosomal RNA", at positions 5 to 1113 of the family's 1831-position model. Lineage: Eukaryota; Apicomplexa; Hepatozoidae. The record is from RNAcentral.
UGGUUGAUCCUGCCAGUAGUCAUAUGCUUGUCUUAAAGAUUAAGCCAUGCAUGUCUAAGUAUAAACUGUAAUACAGUAAAACUGCAAAUGGCUCAUUAAAACAGUUAUAAUUUACUUGAUAAUAAAAUAUUACAUGGAUAACCGUGGUAAUUCUAGAGCUAAUACAUGAGCAAUGUCUCAACUAUUUUGGAAGAGAUGCAUUUAUUAGAUAAAAAGCCAAUACAUGCUUUUAAAGUAUGAAAGUUGGUGAUUUACAAUAACUUAGCAAAUCGCAUAGUGUCAACAGGCGAUAAAUCAUUCAAGUUUCUGACCUAUCAGCUUUCGACGGUAUGGUAUUGGCUUACCGUGGCAGUGACGGUUAACGGGGGAUUAGGGUUCGAUUCCGGAGAGGGAGCCUGAGAAACGGCUACCACAUCUAAGGAAGGCAGCAGGCGCGCAAAUUACCCAAUUCUAACAGCAUAAGAGAGGUAGUGACAAGAAAUAACAAUACAAGGCAGUUAAAAUGGUUUGUAAUUGGAAUGAUAGAAAUUUAAACACUUUUUAGAGUAUCAAUUGGAGGGCAAGUCUGGUGCCAGCAGCCGCGGUAAUUCCAGCUCCAAUAGCGUAUAUUAAAAUUGUUGCAGUUAAAAAGCUCGUAGUUGAAUUUCUGCUAAAAAUAACCGGUCUCCUUUUUAAUAAAAUUGCUUAUCUUGGUGUGCUUUUARCAAUAAUGUCCUUUGAAAUGUUUUUUACUUUAUUGUAAUAAACCAUAUUCAGGAUUUUUACUUUGAGAAAAUUAGAGUGUUUGUAGCAGGCUAACGCUUUGAAUACUGCAGCAUGGAAUAAUAGAAUAGGAUUUUGGUUCUACAUUAUUGGUUUUAAGAACUAAAUUAAUGAUUGAUAGGGACAGUUGGGGGCAUUUGUAUUUAACUGUCAGAGGUGAAAUUCUUAGAUUUGUUAAAGACAAACUACUGCGAAAGCAUUUGCCAAAGAUGUUUUCAUUAAUCAAGAACGAAAGUUAGGGGAUCGAAGACGAUCAGAUACCGUCGUAGUCUUAACUAUAAACUAUGCCGACUAGAGAUUGGAGGUCGUCUUUAUAAACGACUCCUGCAGCACCUUACGAGAAAUCAAA